UAAUUUUAUUAAGACCCUUUUACCACUUGGCCCAUACACUGGAUCAAAUUAAAUGAGUAAUUAGCAUAACCUCAGUAAUAUAUUCUGGCAAAAUGUGUAGGGGAAAAGAAACCGUCGGCUUCAGAUUUGAUUUCGAGUGGGAGCAUACGUGGAGCAAUUUGAGUCCGAAUUUGAUGUGUCUUGAAGUUGUGGUGAGUUGCUUGGUUGUUCCGUGGCCCACACCUUCCUCUAUCUUUUGUUUAUUUUGUCAUUUAGUAUUCAGACAGGGUAUCCCUUAUGUUUGAUUUGUCAUUUUAGUUUCAGACUUGCAUCAUAUUUUAAAAGCUCUUGUACUUAUGACACCAAUUCAUGGGGUGAUAUUUUUAGCUUGUUGCAGUUCAUACUUAUAAAGAGAUUUAUAUUGGAGAUUUUCA
Solanum lycopersicum (tomato) is the source of this 413-nucleotide long non-coding RNA. RefSeq lists it as uncharacterized. NCBI's taxonomy places the organism in Eukaryota, Viridiplantae, Streptophyta, Magnoliopsida, Solanales, Solanaceae. The record is from RefSeq and is a predicted model, not a curated record.